GCUUGGACUGACAUUACAAGUCCUGUACUAACAAAUACUGAACAAUGGAGUUUCUGACUGUCUGGAGUUUAGUUGUCAUGGUGAUGUCCAUACACAGUGUUUGCUGUGAUGAGAUGGAUCAGUCUCCUUCUCAGGUGAAAAGACCUGGAGACACGUUUAAAUUGUCAUGUAAAAUCUCUGGGUUUGAUAUGACAAGCUACUACAUUCACUGGAUAAGGCAGAAACCAGGCAAAGCUCUGGAGUGGAUUGGGGGUAUUGACUCUGGUUCAACAGAUGCUCCAGACUACUCAGAAUCCCUGAAAGGCCAGUUCAUUCUGACUGAGGACGUGUCCACAAGCACCCAGUUCUUAGAGGCCAAGAGUCUGAGUUCAGAGGACUCUGCUGUUUAUUAUUGUGCUCGACAGACACACUGA
Salmo salar (Atlantic salmon) is the source of this 413-nucleotide non-coding RNA. Lineage: Eukaryota; Metazoa; Chordata; Actinopteri; Salmoniformes; Salmonidae. The record is from the annotation of a RefSeq genome assembly.